Diceros bicornis minor is the source of this 293-nucleotide long non-coding RNA. RefSeq lists it as uncharacterized. The record is from RefSeq and is a predicted model, not a curated record. The transcript has 3 exons. NCBI's taxonomy places the organism in Eukaryota, Metazoa, Chordata, Mammalia, Perissodactyla, Rhinocerotidae.
UCUCGCCUUCUCUUCACAGGUUACACCUAUGGAGCCGUGGCCCCGACUACCACCAGUGAGUAUUCCUGGCCCUGAUCUCCUGGGUCCCGUUUGCAUUUGGAGUUUGGGAGCACUUGUUCUCCUUCAUCUGCUGUCCUUGGUCACCAAGCUGUACAGCGGCAGCCAGCUUUGAGACAUAUUCCAUUCCACUCCUGCCUGGUCACCAACUUGAUUAACCACACUGGAGUGGACUCCCUGUGUACCUUGCCGCCUUGGCACAGAGAUUGGACAGAGUUGCCAUCUAUGAGGAAUUC